GGGUGUGAGGGCAAUCUGGCUGUGACAUCUGUCACCCUAUUGAUCGCCAGAGUUGAUUUGGCUGGCUAGGAGGAUGUCCCCUUCUUCCCUCACCGCUCCAUGUGCAUCCCUCCCGAAACUGCGUGCUUUGUCGAAGAGGAUGACCUUCCCCUAUAUAGGAGAGGACCGCUCUUUGUCAAGGGUAUACGAGUAGUCGUGCUCUCCUGCUAGAACCUCCAAACAAGCACUCAAAUAUUUGUUAGAAUAAAUGAAUGAACUAAACAAGUCUUUCGUUUCAGGGAUUUAUAGCUAAUCACCGUGGUAAAAU
This 307-nucleotide small nuclear RNA is filed under the name Pteropus vampyrus (large flying fox). RNAcentral describes it as "7SK RNA (ENSPVAG00000026549.1)". It matches the Rfam family "7SK RNA". Rfam says of the family: 7SK was discovered as an abundant small nuclear RNA in the mid-70s but a possible function has only recently been suggested. Two independent studies have found that 7SK RNA binds the CDK9/cyclin T complex (known as elongation factor P-TEFb). P-TEFb activates transcription by phosphorylating the C-terminal domain of RNA polymerase II. The record is from RNAcentral. Lineage: Eukaryota; Metazoa; Chordata; Mammalia; Chiroptera; Pteropodidae.